Molecule: ribosomal RNA, 688 nt
Filed under: Scenedesmus sp. HSD-4-1
Lineage: Eukaryota; Viridiplantae; Chlorophyta; Chlorophyceae; Sphaeropleales; Scenedesmaceae
Description: eukaryotic LSU rRNA
Rfam family: 5.8S ribosomal RNA (bases 254-407)
Source: RNAcentral
CCUUUCCCGAUCGAUCACUCUGGUACCAAUGUCACCCCCGCUGGCUCGUCCGGUGGGCGUCGGUCCCCUGGCUGGGGUUUUCGAACCGCAGUUUCAGGUCCGGCGGGCUCGCUCCGACGGCUGGAGCUUAAUUUUUAAGUUGCUCCGUCGGUUGCAGGCUGGUAAUUCGUAUCCAACCCAACCCACCCCAAACUUCAACUCACUCUGAAGCUGUCUUGUGUGUGCGCUCCGGCGCCUCACUCAAACCAAAGACAACUCUCAACAACGGAUAUCUUGGCUCCCGUAUCGAUGAAGAACGCAGCGAAAUGCGAUACGUAGUGUGAAUUGCAGAAUUCCGUGAACCAUCGAAUCUUUGAACGCAAAUUGCGCCUGAGGCUUCGGCCGAGGGCAUGUCUGCCUCAGCGUCGGCUUACCCCCUCGCCCUCCCUUCCCUGUGAACGGAGGGCGGACCUGGCCCUCCCGGCUCCGUUUGGCUUUGCCAUGCGUCCGGGUCGGCUGAAGUGUAGAGGCUUGAGCAUGGACCCCGUUUGUAGGGCAAUGGCUUGGUAGGUAGCAUCCGCUACAGCGCCUGCCGUUGUCCGAGGGGACUUUGCUGGCGGCCCAGCAGGAAUUCGGUGCGUGCGGUUUUCCGUCGCCCGAAUGCUUUCACUUUCGACCUGAGCUCAGGCAAGACUACCCGCUGACUUUU